ACUCCUACGGGAGGCAGCAGUAAGGAAUAUUGGUCAAUGGGCGCAAGCCUGAACCAGCCAUGCCGCGUGCAGGAAGACGGCCUUAUGGGUUGUAAACUGCUUUUAUAUAGGAAUAACCUCCCGAUCGUGAUCGGGACUGAAGGUACUAUACGAAUAAGGACCGGCUAACUCCGUGCCAGCAGCCGCGGUAAUACGGAGGGUCCAAGCGUUAUCCGGAUUUAUUGGGUUUAAAGGGUGCGCAGGCGGACCUAUCAGUCAGUGGUGAAAUCCCGGGGCUCAACUCCGGAACUGCCAUUGAUACUGUAGGUCUUGAGUUUGGUUGAAGUGGGCGGAAUGUAGCAUGUAGCGGUGAAAUGCAUAGAUAUGCUACAGGACACCGAUCGCGAAGGCAGCUCACUAAGCCAAGACUGACGCUCAGGCACGAAAGCGUGGGUAGCGAACAGGAUUAGAUACCCUGGUAGUCCACGCCGUAAACGAUGAUCACUCGUUGUUGGCAACACAUAGUCAGUGACCAAGCGAAAGCGAUAAGUGAUCCACCUGGGGAGUACGUUCGCAAGAAUGAAACUCAAAGGAAUUGACGGGGGCCCGCACAAGCGGUGGAGCAUGUGGUUUAAUUCGAUGAUACGCGAGGAACCUUACCUGGGCUCAAAUGUAAGUUGACAGUUUCUGAAAGGGAAUUUUCUUCGGACAAUUUACNAAGGUGCUGCAUGGUUGUCGUCAGCUCGUGCCGUGAGGUGUCGGGUUAAGUCCCAUAACGAGCGCAACCCCUAUUCUUAGUUGCCAUCAGGUCAUGCUGGGGACUCUAGGAAAACUGNCUACGCAAGUAGAGANNANNNGGGGAUGACGUCAAAUCAGCACNGGCCCUUACGUCCANGCNACACA
Molecule: ribosomal RNA, 882 nt
Filed under: uncultured bacterium
Lineage: Bacteria
Description: bacterial SSU rRNA
Rfam family: Bacterial small subunit ribosomal RNA
Source: RNAcentral